ACAUUGUAGCACUAUCGACCAUAUGUAGCCAUGAUCUGAGUGACGUAACCCAAACAAACGAUCUCUGUCAAGAAACUGAAAAUUUAUCCACCCGCUAUACAGUGAAUAGAACUGAAAGUGUGAAAAGUGUGUUCAACCACCAUGCAACCUGAGAUGCUAUAAGAACUACUACCAUUACAUGCAAAAGUGCGGAGCAACCUGGAGAAGAGUUAAGCAGAGACAUCCGAGUAACUUCUCCAUUACUCAGCAACGCUGGUGAGUUUGCAUGUGUUAGGUUACGGGUAUUUCCCUGGGACUCCUCCAUCCUGUGGCGUGGCGGUAACAAUUGUUACACGAAUCUUUGAUUUC
This 348-nucleotide long non-coding RNA is filed under the name Neodiprion lecontei (redheaded pine sawfly). Its description in RNAcentral is "uncharacterized LOC124295030". Lineage: Eukaryota; Metazoa; Arthropoda; Insecta; Hymenoptera; Diprionidae. The record is from RNAcentral.